UACGUAGGGCGCAAGCGUUGUCCGGAAUUAUUGGGCGUAAAGAGCUCGUAGGCGGUCUGUCACGUCUGCCGUGAAAACCCGAGGCUUAACCUCGUGGCUUGCGGUGGAUACGGGCAGACUAGAGGUAGGUAGGGGAGAACGGAAUUCCCGGUGUAGCGGUGAAAUGCGCAGAUAUCGGGAGGAACACCGGUGGCGAAGGCGGUUCUCUGGGCCUUACCUGACGCUGAGGAGCGAAAGCAUGGGGAGCGAA
Molecule: ribosomal RNA, 250 nt
Filed under: uncultured Actinoallomurus sp.
Lineage: Bacteria; Bacillati; Actinomycetota; Actinomycetes; Streptosporangiales; Thermomonosporaceae
Description: partial 16S ribosomal RNA
Rfam family: Bacterial small subunit ribosomal RNA
Source: RNAcentral